This 230-nucleotide ribosomal RNA is filed under the name uncultured bacterium. RNAcentral describes it as "partial 16S ribosomal RNA". It matches the Rfam family "Bacterial small subunit ribosomal RNA", at positions 560 to 789 of the family's 1533-position model. The record is from RNAcentral.
GUAAAGCGCGCGUAGGUGGUUUGUUAAGUUGGAUGUGAAAUCCCCGGGCUCAACCUGGGAACUGCAUCCAAAACUGGCAAGCUAGAGUAUGGUAGAGGGUGGUGGAAUUUCCUGUGUAGCGGUGAAAUGCGUAGAUAUAGGAAGGAACACCAGUGGCGAAGGCGACCACCUGGACUGAUACUGACACUGAGGUGCGAAAGCGUGGGGAGCAAACAGGAUUAGAUACCCGU